Molecule: long non-coding RNA, 709 nt
Organism: Dermochelys coriacea (leatherback sea turtle)
Lineage: Eukaryota; Metazoa; Chordata; Testudines; Dermochelyidae
Exons: 3
Source: RefSeq, a predicted model, not a curated record
GCCCCACUGCAGAGGGAAGUUUUGAGUCAGGGUGGUAUUGUGCUUGUGAGCUAUAUGUCAUCUCAGCACUGCUCCAAGGGGCUCCCACUGCAGAGCUUCUGGACAGGGAUUUCAGCAAGGGCAGCUAUUCAGUGAUACUGUAACCUUGGUGUCACCUGCUACUGGAGACAGCUGAAUGCAGCAGCAGGGACUGCAUUGCAGAGGACUCAUACAGUGGUUAUGGGGAAUGGAGAGCCCUCCCACUGCCCCUACAUUCAGGGGCUUAAAUCCAGCCCCUUCUAACCAGAGAUGGGGACAUAUUCAGGUCCUCCCCCAAGCUGGGCCAGACACCAGGGGAGUUGUAGCAACCCAGGGCAGAAAUGGGCUGUUCACCAGGACCUCACUCACUUUCUAUUGGCAUCUGGGGAAUCUGUGCCCUGGUUAUGCUGAAGUGGAUCCAUGCAGAACUGCACUACUGGCUUUGUGAACAGAUCACUGAGCACAUGCAGUGUCAAUUUGUUUUUUCGCAUCUGUUCAUCUAGAGCAGGGGGCUCAGCAAAGCCUGUUUUGCCAUGCCUUAGUCAUGUCCUUACCUGGAAAGAAUGUAGCUGUUCCAGCUCAAUGACCCAACACGGGAAGAAUGGCUGGUCAUAUUUCGGAGCCGUUUCUGUUGCUGUAUGUCCCACAGCUGCAAAGAGACAUUAAGAGCACACGGCUGAACUCCUGUCAC